AACUUUCAACAACGGAUCUCUUGGCUCUCACAUCGAUGAAGAACGCAGCGAAAUGCGAUACGUAAUGUGAAUUGCAGAAUUCAGUGAAUCAUCGAAUCUUUGAACGCACCUUGCGCCCCUUGGCAUUCCGAGGGGCACACCCGUUUGAGUGUCGUGAAAUCAUCAAAACCUUCUCUUUGACCCUCUUUGGUCGGGAAAAGGAUUUUUGGACUUGGAGGUUCCAUGCUCGCCUUCACUUUUGAAAGCGAGCUCCUCUCAAAUGAAUUAGUGGGGUCCGCUUUGCUGGUCCUUGACGUGAUAAGAUGUUUCUACGUUUUGGAUUUAGCACUGUCCCUUGGAUGCCUGCUCCUAACCGUCUCACGGACNAUGAUGGUGCUCUGGUCACUGCCAUCUACAUUGGCGGGAGGCUGGACCCACAAAAGAAAACCUUGA
This 432-nucleotide ribosomal RNA is filed under the name uncultured Russula. RNAcentral describes it as "eukaryotic LSU rRNA". The stretch from base 1 to 154 matches the Rfam family "5.8S ribosomal RNA". The record is from RNAcentral. Lineage: Eukaryota; Fungi; Basidiomycota; Agaricomycetes; Russulales; Russulaceae.